UGACUUUUUGAAAAGCCAUGAGCCAGCUCUAAUUCAGCUGAGUUAGAUGAGAAAGGGAGGUAGCUGCAGAGGCCUCCACUGUUAACUGGUGGGCUCCUUGCUUGCAGAGGUUGGAGAGGGCAAAGGAGAGAGAGUGUGGUUUGAUUGCAGUGUAAUUUUCUUCCCUCUGGGAGCGUUUCAAGCGAAUUCUACCAAUGUCAGGGAAGCAAUGACUCACCAAACAGUGGGGUGUUGAUUUCGGGAAAGAGAGGGGAAGUUCCUGCUUUGGUGCUCACGGACGGCUCUGCACUAAGAUCUUUGUCUGAGUAGGCCGGAGAUGGUGAAGGCCGCGCAGAAGGACGUAGUGGAAUCACAGGAAGUUGGCCAUCGCACGGUCCUGUGGGCCUCCACGCGGCGCUCAGCUCUCUCUCCGCGGGGACCAUCACCCUGUCCCAACCUCUGUUCAAGCUCCCACCCUCUGAACAGCUCACUGUCUCCUUCCUGCGCAGAAAGUUGAGGCCAUCAGACCGCAAGUUCUUUAAGCUCAGCCGAGGCUAAACGUCUCUGAAGGCCUGUCUGCACCCGGGGCUCCGUUUCCUCUCCGCCCCACCGGCUCUCUCACGCCUCCAGCCGCCCAACUCGCUGAGAUCACUGUGACCUCCGCGCCGUCUAAUCCAAAGGCCGCUCCUUCAUUCCCCGGCUCCGGGCAGGCUUUCCCACCGCUGAUCCCUGCCUUCUUCAUGGUGACUCCAAGUUGCCGCGCCUUCCUGGAUGUCUCCCUCCAUCUCUGGCUGAGUCUUUCUUCUCUUUGCAAUGUCUUUCCCCCUCUAACCUUCCAUCACAGUUUCUCCAGGCUUUAGGGGAGACUUGCCUGCUGGUCCAGUGGUCAGGACCCUGCACUUCCUCGGCAGGGGGUACAGGUGUGUACCAAGGUCCCACAUGCCACACAGUGUGGCUACAAAGAAAGAAAUAAAGAAAAUUUCCUUAAGGGUUA
Long non-coding RNA from Bubalus bubalis (water buffalo), 973 nucleotides. RefSeq lists it as uncharacterized. The record is from RefSeq and is a predicted model, not a curated record. The transcript has 3 exons. NCBI's taxonomy places the organism in Eukaryota, Metazoa, Chordata, Mammalia, Artiodactyla, Bovidae.